This 292-nucleotide ribosomal RNA is filed under the name uncultured bacterium. Its description in RNAcentral is "partial 16S ribosomal RNA". It matches the Rfam family "Bacterial small subunit ribosomal RNA", at positions 505 to 796 of the family's 1533-position model. The record is from RNAcentral.
GUGCCAGCCGCCGCGGUAAUACGUAGGGUGCGAGCGUUGUUCGGAAUUACUGGGUGUAAAGGGUCCGCAGGCGGGCGAGCAAGUCGGUGGUGAAAGUUCAUGGCUUAACUGUGAAAUUGCCUUCGAUACUGCUCGUCUUGAGUUCGAGAGAGGAUGAUGGAAUUCAUGGUGUAGCAGUGAAAUGCGUAGAGAUCAUGAAGAACACCAGUUGCGAAGGCGGUCAUCUGGCUCGAUACUGACGCUCAGGGACGAAAGCGUGGGUAGCAAACAGGAUUAGAAACCCGAGUAGUCC